This 657-nucleotide long non-coding RNA is filed under the name Cucumis sativus (cucumber). Its description in RNAcentral is "long non-coding RNA (CSAT_LNC000356)". Lineage: Eukaryota; Viridiplantae; Streptophyta; Magnoliopsida; Cucurbitales; Cucurbitaceae. The record is from RNAcentral.
GCUCUUUUUCACGAGGAAGGUCGUCUAGUAGUCCACGUCGAAGGGACCGUCGUGAUUCAUUCUCUCCUCGACAUAGAUCAUCACAUUUGAUGAGAAGAUCUGGAUCUACUUCACAUCGUAAGUCUCGAUCUCCAGAAGUACGUCAAUUGCGUUCUCCUUCUCAACAUAGUUCACCAUCUCCUGGUCGUAAAUCACCAUAUCGAUCAUCUUCGCCUAUGCAACGUCUAUCAUUAUCACCUGCACAUCGAAGGUCACCGGCACUUGAUAAGCAUAAUAGAUCACCAUCACCCACGAGGCAUCGUAGGUCACUAUCACCAAUUAGACGUCGUCGUUCACCUUCACCUGUUCGGCGUCGUAGAUCACCAUCACCUAAAUGGCGUCGUAGAUCACCAUCACCUGAGUGGCGUCGUAGGUCACCUUCACCAGGACGACGUCGUAGGUCACCUUCACCAGGACGACGUCGUAGGUCACCAUCACCAGGACGACGUCGUAGGUCACCAUCACCAGGACGACAUCGUAGGUCACCAUCACCUAUACGACGCUGGAGGUCACCAUCUCCAAUACGACGUAGAAGGUCACCAUCUCCAAUACGACGUCGAAGGUCACCAUCCCCACCACGACGUCAUAGGUCACCAUCUCCAUAUCGUCGAAAAUCAC